This 589-nucleotide unclassified non-coding RNA is filed under the name Hevea brasiliensis (rubber tree). The record is from RNAcentral. Lineage: Eukaryota; Viridiplantae; Streptophyta; Magnoliopsida; Malpighiales; Euphorbiaceae.
CUAAAUUACUUCAGAAUUUAAUUUGUCAAGUUUUGAAGAAUGGGAGCACGGAGCUGGAAUUGAAAAAAGAGCAUUUUAAAGGCUUAAAUUUGGUGGAAAUUAAUUUGGAGCUGCCGUGUGGGACCGUAGGACCCACAUGGGUACCCCUGUUUCCUGAAACAGCUCCAUGCAUGUGUUGCACAAGAGUGCAUGCACAUGAAGAAUGCAAAUGCAGCUGGCACUUUUGGAAUUCCAUACACGUGCACAAGAGUACCGUUGGUACCUUUUUGUAGGAAUAUUCCUUGCUGUCAUAACUACCUCCCUUAUUGGACUUAAAUGCCCUUGUUGCUGCUGUUUUAAGUUUGCUUUUAUUUGGGACGUUUUUUGUCUUUUAGUAUUUUAAUCUUUGUUUGGACUUAAACCUCCUUGUAACUGCUAUUAAAGCAGGGACAUUUUAGUCUUUAGCAUCUGGGCCAAGAGGCUAUAAAUAUAUAUAAUGAGAAGCUGGACGACACACAAUUGAUACUAAAUGAAGAAAUUUUUCUGCUCCAUUAGCGAGUGAUUGGCUGUUGCCUUUGUUCUUAUGAAACUCAUUAACUUGUUAAGAUUA